GCCGGCAGCCGAAGAAGUAGGGGGGAAGCGAUGUUUGUCCUUAUUUAUUGUAUUGAGCGGGUAGGGAGGAGGGUAGAUAAAUCAAGAGAGAAAUUAAACAAACCACGGGGUAGACAUGGUUGAGGAAUUUAGUAGUGCAGGAGAGGAAGCAGAAUUCAUGAGGAAUGUAUGGAAGAAAUGGAAAUAUAUUACAACGAACGUCGAGAAGAAACUUUCUGGAUGGGCCCUGACGAGAGGUGUGCAAAAAGGGUAGGGAACAACAGGAUUAGAUACCUAGUUCUCCACUCAGCGAUGUAUAAUCGCUGUGGGAGGUAUAGACCCCUUCAGCGGCUCAGCAAA
Molecule: ribosomal RNA, 339 nt
Filed under: uncultured bacterium
Lineage: Bacteria
Description: partial 16S ribosomal RNA
Source: RNAcentral